UGUGGCUGAUCAGAUGAAUUGUAGA
Molecule: non-coding RNA, 25 nt
Filed under: Cricetulus griseus (Chinese hamster)
Lineage: Eukaryota; Metazoa; Chordata; Mammalia; Rodentia; Cricetidae
Source: RNAcentral